Long non-coding RNA from Bactrocera dorsalis (oriental fruit fly), 3050 nucleotides. RefSeq lists it as uncharacterized. The record is from RefSeq and is a predicted model, not a curated record. The transcript is spliced from 3 exons. NCBI's taxonomy places the organism in Eukaryota, Metazoa, Arthropoda, Insecta, Diptera, Tephritidae.
AGAGUACUUAAACACUUCUCAGAAUUAGUUGUUUUUGUUGGAUUAUGAACUUGCGAGCACCUACUUUGCAACUCAACGGUGGAUUUCCCUGAGCCCAAAUUCAACAGUAUUUUUCACAAAAAAACAAUGCUUUAUUGACACAUGAAAUGCUUUAUGAUCGAUUUUUUUAAACUAACACAAGUUGCUAUAUCUCAUUAACUAAUAGUUAUAAUCCAACUAAUAGAAAUCAUAUAGAUGGUAGUAGUAGUAUUAUCUAUGUAUCAGCCACAGUGAAGCGUGGACGGGUCCUCUAGUAUAAGUAUAUAUUUAUAUACAACACAAGAAACGCCUUCUCCAUUUGAAUCACAACUUAAUAGACGAUUUUAUUAUCAAUAGGCCGAUAUAUUUCUUUAGAAAUGAUUCAAAUCUUUUCACUCAACAAUAUUCAAUCGCUUCACUAAAACUUUUCAUUAAAAUCGAAAGAAUUAAUAAUAUUUUGCGAAUUUACAAAAGUGUUCACUUUUCUGUUUACAAUUUGCAAGCCAUUUGACAGUUUUUCACUCUUGUUCUUCUCAACUCGCAACUAUGACGUUUCAUAAUGGCGGUUCUCCUAAUUUUGUAUUCUAUCAUUCUUGAUCUAGUCUCAAAACAUUGUCUCUAAUUUUGUCAGCUGGUAAUAAACAGGGCACAAACGUAUUAAGAAAAGAGAAAACAAGCAUUGGACGAAGAAGUCGUAGCUUUUUUGUUAAUUUUACAAACUUAUGAAAAUGAAGAAAGAAAUGCAAACAGGAGGAAUUUGGCGCACUUAAGGAAUAGUGAGAAUCCAUUUUUAUUGGAGGAAGGAAUAUUUAGAAAAUAUUUUCGUUUUCCGAAAUCGUUGUGUUGGGACCUUAUGCACUACUUGAAACCUCACGAUAAUCGUUUCCGAAAGUCUGCUAUUCCUUUUGAGAUUCGGUUCGUUUCAGUGCUAUAUUUUUUUUUUUCAAAUGGCUCAUACCAAUACUGGAUUGGAAAUAGCCAUUUAUCUGCCAUGAGCAGGGAUGGGCACCAUCACAAUCAAACAAGCAUCACAAAAUGAAAUUGUGUUAGUGCGCUUACUGUGGGACCAAGCGUACCAGCAACCAAAAAUAAUCAGUCUGCUUGCAGAUGUCGAACGAGCAGGUCUAUGUCGCACGAAGCCGCAAUGCUACGAAUACGUACAUAUGUAUAUACAUAUGCACAUUUUUAAGAAUAUGUGCAUAAACCAUUGAAUAUAAAAUAUAAUUAUUUUUCAUUUCAGGCAAGAAUAAAAUUUAAGUUAUUAGUUAAUUAUAAAUUAGUAAUCUAAUUCAUUUAAAAACUUAAAAAUAAAUUAAAUUUGUAUAUGAAAAGAAAAUAUAAAUCUAUAUUUGAAUUCAUAGAAUAUUUUAAAUAUAUAACGAAACUUCAAUAAAGUUAAAGCUAUUAGAAAAUGAAAGCUAUUAUAAUAUGAAAUAUUAUGAAUACACAUUUCAAGAGGUCAGUUAAUUUCAAACAAUUAUCCGAGUGUCAAAAAAAAAAGAGUUCAUUCUGUAAUAAAUUUAAGAAGGUUAUUUAUUUCUUUGUGAAAGAUUAUAAAAUGUCUUUUUAAAUUUUGCUUAAAUACAAAAUUUAAAACUAUUUGACAUAACAAGCACUGCGGCUUCCCAGAAUUAUUCAAAAGAAAAAAAAAUUCAAAUUCCCACUCUGUCUGAAACGUUUUUUGGUCUUCCAUGUUUAUACUCGCAUAUGUGUUCAUUUAUAUACGGCAUACAACUCGUGCGCAUCAACCUGCUCAGUUCAACUUCUGAUUGCAGACUGAUUUUAACAUCGCUUUGUUCCAGGCAUGGGCAAAGUCUUAGCAGGUGCUAAAAGAGCGUAAGCUAUCGCAUACGUACACACACCGAUUGUCACUAACACGCACAAGCGAAGAGCGUAAAACGAGCACUUACGAUGGAACAAAGCGAUGUUAAAAUCAGUCUGCAAUCAGAAGUUGAACUGAGCAGGUUGAUGCGCACGAGUUGUAUGCCGUAUAUAAAUGAACACAUAUGCGAGUAUAAACAUGGAAGACCAAAAAACGUUUCAGACAGAGUGGGAAUUUGAAUUUUUUUUCUUUUGAAUAAUUCUGGGAAGCCGCAGUGCUUGUUAUGUCAAAUAGUUUUAAAUUUUGUAUUUAAGCAAAAUUUAAAAAGACAUUUUAUAAUCUUUCACAAAGAAAUAAAUAACCUUCUUAAAUUUAUUACAGAAUGAACUCUUUUUUUUUUGACACUCGGAUAAUUGUUUGAAAUUAACUGACCUCUUGAAAUGUGUAUUCAUAAUAUUUCAUAUUAUAAUAGCUUUCAUUUUCUAAUAGCUUUAACUUUAUUGAAGUUUCGUUAUAUAUUUAAAAUAUUCGAUGAAUUCAAAUAUAGAUUUAUAUUUUCUUUUCAUAUACAAAUUUAAUUUAUUUUUAAGUUUUUAAAUGAAUUAGAUUACUAAUUUAUAAUUAACUAAUAACUUAAAUUUUAUUCUUGCUUGAAAUGAAAAAUAAUUAUAUUUUAUAUUCAAUGGUUUAUGCACAUAUUCUUAAAAAUGUGCAUAUGUAUAUACAUACGUAUUCGUAGCAUUGCGGCUUCGUGCGACAUAGACCUGCUCGUUCGACAUCUGCAAGCAGACUGAUUAUUUUUGGUUGCUGGUACGCUUGGUCCCACAGUAAGCGCACUAACACAAUCUCAUUUUGUGAUGCUUGUUUGAUUGUGAUGGUGCCCAUCCCUGCUUUGUUCCAUCGUAAGUGCUCGUUUUACGCUCUUCGCUUGUGCGUGUUAGUGACAAUCGGUGUGUGUACGUAUACGACAGUGGUCGGCAUGAGAGGAUCUGUCACUGUGUUGGUGAGCACGAAAAAAAAGUAGCCCAGUGAGAAAUUGGAAUUAAAAUUAAGCAAUUUUAAUUAUUAAUUAAUAGUAUAAUGAAAAUUAACAAAUUGUCUUUUGAGGAUAUAUUCCCUAUUAUCUUUAAAAGACUUGGAACAUAAAAGGCAUUGCAUGGCAUCAAAGGCAUUUAGAACCAUAAAAUAUUUCUUGCAGGGCAUAUUUCGU